RNAcentral lists this long non-coding RNA (306 nucleotides) under Elaeis guineensis (African oil palm). RNAcentral describes it as "long non-coding RNA (EGUI_LNC015903)". Lineage: Eukaryota; Viridiplantae; Streptophyta; Magnoliopsida; Arecales; Arecaceae. The record is from RNAcentral.
AGCAAAAUCCAUAGUCUACAGAUACAAAUUUUUAAAAAUAAAAUAUUUUUUUAUUUAUUAAAAUCUUUACAAAGAAAAAGUCAGUGCUACAAGCACUUUACAAACAAAAAGGCGAUGUUUCAAAUACUUUGGGGGAUGAUUGCUCCAGGCACAAUCUUACGAACAAGAGAAGAAAAUGAGGAAUGUAAGAGGAAGAACAGGAGGAUAGUAGAAGAGGAGGAUAGUGGAAGAUGAAGGGAAAGAAGAGAAGAUGAGAAGGGAUGUCCCGCUGCAAUCGACGGAACAUCAGAUCGAUCAGGUGAGUUG